Transfer RNA from Felis catus (domestic cat), 85 nucleotides. It matches the Rfam family "tRNA". From Rfam's summary of the family: Transfer RNA (tRNA) molecules are approximately 80 nucleotides in length. Their secondary structure includes four short double-helical elements and three loops (D, anti-codon, and T loops). Further hydrogen bonds mediate the characteristic L-shaped molecular structure. tRNAs have two regions of fundamental functional importance: the anti-codon, which is responsible for specific mRNA codon recognition, and the 3' end, to which the tRNAs corresponding amino acid is attached (by aminoacyl-tRNA synthetases). tRNAs cope with the degeneracy of the genetic code in two manners: having more than one tRNA (with a specific anti-codon) for a particular amino acid; and 'wobble' base-pairing, i.e. permitting non-standard base-pairing at the 3rd anti-codon position. The record is from Rfam. Lineage: Eukaryota; Metazoa; Chordata; Mammalia; Carnivora; Felidae.
GCCUGGGUGGUUCAAUCGGUUGAGCGUCUGACUUCAGCUCAGGUCAUGAUCUCCUGGUUUGUGGGUUCAAGCCCCAUGUCGGGCU